RNAcentral lists this long non-coding RNA (664 nucleotides) under Equus asinus (donkey). RNAcentral's name for it is "lncRNA (ENSEASG00005036577.1)". Lineage: Eukaryota; Metazoa; Chordata; Mammalia; Perissodactyla; Equidae. The record is from RNAcentral.
CAGCCGGCUGCCAGGGCAGCGGGCGCUGGGCUCGGGCACUGGAGCCCAGCUCUGGGCGCCCCCUCCAGCAGCUCUGGGAGCCGGGAGACGGCCACUGGGGCUGUGGACAGAGCGGGCGUUUGCCCAGACACGUGUUGCUCCUGGGGCAAGGCCCCGGGGCAGUCAGGAGCUCUGCAGGCUGCCCAUCCCUGGCUGCCAGGCUCAUGCCCACUGCCCUCUGGGUGCGUGCCGUGUGACUGUCCCCAAAGCCGCCAGCCAAGUGCGUGCCCUUCUCAGAGCCCCGUGUCCCCCAGAACCUGAGAGGUUCUCUUUGGUUGUUGGGUGUGAUCAGCAACUGACCAUCCCAUGCCAAAGGAUGGCAUGGUGCAACUGAAAUCCUGUGAGAGUUGCAGGAUUUAACGAAGCCAAUGAAAGGGGACACUGGAGGACUCUUCUAAUGCCACACAAAGUCCUAGACAAAUUCGAAACCUGGCAGAGGGCGGCUAGUUCACAACAGAAGAAGAGAAAAUUGGCAGCAAUGAGUCAUGACAGGAAACUUUCAUCAUUCUCCUGUCAGUGAAAUAUGAAAUGAAAAAAUGUCAUACCACGCUAGCAUCUAAUUUUGUUCAAAAAAAUUAUCCCCCUUAACCCAAUAAAUACUUGAUUUGCUCUUUGUUCAUUGAAA